Molecule: long non-coding RNA, 724 nt
Filed under: Canis lupus dingo (dingo)
Lineage: Eukaryota; Metazoa; Chordata; Mammalia; Carnivora; Canidae
Description: lncRNA (ENSCAFG00020026451.1)
Source: RNAcentral
CGGAGGGGGCGAGCGAGACCCCGAGCGGAGAGAAAGGCCCGCGGAGACAGACCGAGAGCGAGCGCGGCCGGCCGGGCGGGCCUGACGCACGGGGAAGGCCGAGGCGGCCGGGCGGGGCGGCCGCGAGGGACGGAGGCAGGAGACGGGCAGAGCGAGGGGAAGAAAGAAAGGGCGUCCGCCCGCCCGGGGAUCCCGAGGCGAAGCGCGGCGUCGGCGGGUGAGGAGACAGACUCCGGGCCCGCCGACUCCCGAGCGGCGUCUCCGGCGGCGGGGGGAGUGGGCGGGCGGGCGGGCGGGCGAGGAAGGGAGAAGGAGGAGAAGAGAGGGAGAGAAGGGAGGGAGGGAGCGGGGGGCGCCCGGCUCUCUCUUUUUUUUCCUCUUCCUCCCCCCACACCCCCUGAAAGAGAUUUCUGUGAGGAAUUUUUCUCUCUUUCUUCGGCCUCUUCUCUCUCCUCCCCCCCUUCUCUCCUCGGCGAAGGGGAAAUGAGUGUGAAGGGAGGAGAUAGAGGGAAAAAGAGGCGUCGUCGUUCCUCCUCCUUAAAGGAACCUUUCCUCCUCCUCCUCCUCCUCCUCCUCCUCAACCCCGUCGCCGCUGCUUCUGCUGCUGCUCCGUGGCAGGAGGAGCCAUUGACACCGCCGGAGCCUCCACUCGCCCAGAAGGCCUUCCAGUGCACCACUGCUGCCCCACCGCCCACCCCAAGACACACGCCACUGGCUGAUUAAG